GAUCCUGGCUUAGGAUGAACGCUGGCGGCGUGCUAACACAUGCAAGUCGAACGGAGUUUUAACGGAAGUUUCGGAUGGAAGUUAGAACUAGUGGCGGACGGGUGAGUAACGCGUGGGUAACCUGCCUCAUACAGGGGGAGUAACAGUUAGAAAUGACUGCUAACACCGCAUAAUAUAGCGAAACCGCAUGAUUUUUGCUAUCAAAUAUUUAUAGGUAUGAGAUGGGCCCGCGUCUGAUUAGCUAGUUGGUGGGGUAAAAGCCUACCAAGGCGACGAUCAGUAGCCGGCUUGAGAGAGUGACCGGCCACAUUGGGACUGAGACACGGCCCAAACUCCUACGGGAGGCAGCAGUGGGGAAUAUUGGACAAUGGGGGAAACCCUGAUCCAGCGAACCGCCGCGUGAGUGAAGAAGUGUUUCGGUAUGUAAAGCUCUAUCAGCAGGGAAGAUAAUGACAGUACCUGACUAAGAAGCCCCGGCUAACUACGUGCCAGCCGCUGC
Molecule: ribosomal RNA, 499 nt
Filed under: uncultured bacterium
Lineage: Bacteria
Description: bacterial SSU rRNA
Rfam family: Bacterial small subunit ribosomal RNA
Source: RNAcentral